CAGGCAGGAGCCUGACUGCUCCGGGAGUCUUGGCAGAGCUCCUGUCCACAGCAGUGGGAUCCAGCACCAGCGGGAUGACGGAGUCAGAACAGCGCUCAACCCAGGGUACUUUUGGUGCAGCACUGCCUCCCUGUCUGACUGCAGCACACAAACAGUCCCCUAUUAAAGCAGUCACAGUUAACAGCGCUUUCUGUACCAAGCCAGGGCCGCUUCAAAAAUCAUUUUAACAAGUAGGAAUAACCCAUUAAAAGCCAUGAGGAGAAAAAGCUGACCAUGAAGCAGUCAGGUUCUCAGUCUCAUGGGUGCAACAAGAGCUUAUAAACCUCUGUUGAACCUGUGUGAUUGAACACCACCAUCAGCCACGAAAGACACCAGGCCCACCCCUGCCAGUGUCACCUGGUAUUCAUUCCAUCCGUCCAUCCUUCCAUCCAUCCAUCCAUCCAUCCUUCCAUCCCACCGCUCCAAGAGCUCCUCAGCGCCGCUCACGACUGGCGGAAAACCAAAAGCUGAGCAUCAAGAAUCCACAAAGUGCAUUUCUCAGAGACUGGAUUUAAACUGAAACCAGACUAAAAUAUGUGGAUGCCUAUGGAAUGUUGAGCUGAAGCUGGGCUCCCAGCCUGCAGUGCAACACCGGCUGUUUAAAACCCAAUCUCCGUACCACAUGACUUGGAAAAACCAAACCCCCCCCCCCGCCCCCCCCCCAAACGCAAUCAUGUUCAGAGAUGUGACAAAUAAAACUACAGGGUUUGCA
Long non-coding RNA from Pezoporus occidentalis (night parrot), 751 nucleotides. RefSeq lists it as uncharacterized. NCBI's taxonomy places the organism in Eukaryota, Metazoa, Chordata, Aves, Psittaciformes, Psittacidae. The record is from RefSeq and is a predicted model, not a curated record. The transcript has 2 exons.